UACAGAGGGGGCUAGCGUUGUUCGGAAUUACUGGGCGUAAAGGGCGCGUAGGUGGCCUGUUAAGUCGACCGUGAAAUCCCCGGGCUCAACCCGGGAACUGCGUCCGAGACUGGCAGGCUCGAAUCCGGGAGAGGGAUGUGGAAUUCCAGGUGUAGCGGUGAAAUGCGUAGAUAUCUGGAGGAACACCGGUGGCGAAGGCGGCAUCCUGGACCGGUAUUGACGCUGAGGCGCGAAAGCCAGGGGAGCAAACGGG
This 253-nucleotide ribosomal RNA is filed under the name uncultured bacterium. RNAcentral's name for it is "partial 16S ribosomal RNA". It matches the Rfam family "Bacterial small subunit ribosomal RNA", at positions 524 to 776 of the family's 1533-position model. The record is from RNAcentral.